This 1236-nucleotide ribosomal RNA is filed under the name metagenome. RNAcentral's name for it is "bacterial LSU rRNA". It matches the Rfam family "Bacterial large subunit ribosomal RNA", at positions 1564 to 2810 of the family's 2925-position model. The record is from RNAcentral.
UGAAUACGAGACGCUAAGGCGUCGAAGUAGUGUAUGUCAUACUUCCAAGAAAAGCUUGCACUGUCAUAGAUAAAAAACGCCUGUACCAUAACCGACACAGGUGGGUAGGUAGAGUAUACUAAGGGGCGCGAGAUAACUCUCUCUAAGGAACUCGGCAAAAUAACUCCGUAACUUCGGGAGAAGGAGUGCCUUAUUAUUAAGGCUGCAAUAACAAGAUCCAAGCAACUGUUUAUCAAAAACACAGGUCUCCGCUAAGUCGUAAGACGAUGUAUGGGGGCUGACGCCUGCCCAGUGCCAGAAGGUUAAAGAAGUUGGUUAGCAUUUGCGAAGCUGAUAACUGAAGCCCUGGUGAACGGCGGCCGUAACUAUAACGGUCCUAAGGUAGCGAAAUUCCUUGUCGGGUAAGUUCCGACCCGCACGAAAGGCGUAAUGAUUUGGAUACUGUCUCGGAGAGGGGCUCGGUGAAAUAGACUUGUCUGUGAAGAUGCGGACUACCUGCACCAGGACAGAAAGACCCUAUGAAGCUUUACUGUAACUUGAAAUUGAAAUUGGACUUUAUUCGCGCAGCAUAGGUGGGAGGCGUUGAUUAUAAUCUUGUGGGAUUAUUGGAGCCAUCAGUGAGAUACCACUCUUGUAAUGUUAGAUUUCUAACUUUGAAUCAUUAUCUGGUCAAAGAACAGUUUCAGGCGGGCAGUUUGACUGGGGCGGUCGCCUCCUAAACGGUAACGGAGGCGUACAAAGGUUUCCUCUGAACGGUUAGAAAUCGUAUCUAGAGUGUAAAGGCAUAAGGAAGCUUGACUGUGAGACCUACAAGUCGAGCAGGGACGAAAGUCGGUCUUAGUGAUCUGACGGUACUGAGUGGAAAGGCCGUCACUCAACGGAUAAAAGUUACUCUAGGAUAACAGGCUGAUCUCCCCCAAGAGUUCACAUCGACGGGGAGGUUUGGCACCUCGAUGUCGGCUCAUCGCAUCCUGGGGCGGUAGUACGUCCCAAGGGUUGGGCUGUUCGCCCAUGAAAGCGGUACGCGAGCUGGGUUCAGAACGUCGUGAGACAGUUCGGUCCAUAUCCGGUGUAGGCGUUAGAAUAUUGAGAGGAGCCUUCUUUAGUACGAGAGGACCGAGAAGGACAUACCUCUGGUGUACCAGUUAUCGUGCCAACGGUAAACGCUGGGUAGCCAUGUAUGGAGUGGAUAACCGCUGAAAGCAUCUAAGUGGGAAGCCCACCUCAAGAUAAGUA